UUUUAUUCUACGAUACAAAUUUAUACUUAAACUAUUGAUUCAAUCAAUAAAGAAUAAUUUUUUUUCAUUCAAGUGUUAUGUGCCCUUGAAUCAUCCUUAGAAUUGAUAUUAUGAUACAUAUUCUCAACUAUUGAGAAUUAGAGGUAUAUAUGAUCGAUUCCUAAAUCGCUCUCGAUUUUAGGAUAGUCAUGGGGAUAGUGAUUUAUCCAGAU
This 212-nucleotide long non-coding RNA is filed under the name Elaeis guineensis (African oil palm). RNAcentral describes it as "long non-coding RNA (EGUI_LNC054696)". The record is from RNAcentral. Lineage: Eukaryota; Viridiplantae; Streptophyta; Magnoliopsida; Arecales; Arecaceae.